UACGUAGGGAGCAAGCGUUGUCCGGAAUCAUUGGGCGUAAAGCGCGCGUAGGUGGCCUCAUAAGUCCGCUGUGAAAGUCAAAGGCUCAACCUUUGAAAGCCAGUGGAUACUGUGAGGCUAGAGUACGGAAGAGGCGAGUGGAAUUCCUGGUGUAGCGGUGGAAUGCGCAGAUAUCAGGAGGAACACCAAUAGCGAAGGCAGCUCGCUGGGACGUUACUGACACUGAGGCGCGAAAGCGUGGGGAGCGAACAGG
RNAcentral lists this ribosomal RNA (253 nucleotides) under uncultured bacterium. Its description in RNAcentral is "partial 16S ribosomal RNA". It matches the Rfam family "Bacterial small subunit ribosomal RNA", at positions 524 to 776 of the family's 1533-position model. The record is from RNAcentral.